GCCUCAACCUCCCGGACUCAAGCGAUCCUCCUACUUCAGCCUUCUGAGUAGCUGAGACUACAGGUGUGUACUGCCACAUCAGGCUAAUUUUGUUAAUUUUUUGUAGAGACAGGAUCUUCAUAUGUUGCCUAGGCUGGUCUUGAAUUUCUGGACUUAAGCAGUCUUCCUGCCUUGGCCUCCCAAAGUGCUGGAUUACAGGUGUGACCCACUACACCUGGCCUCAUUGUGUUUUUUCUUAUAUAACCACACUGUAUGGGGAAGGCAGCACAUACAACAUGGAUAUACUAAACAAAAGGAUGAUUCAUUUCCCAGGUGGAACAGACUGGGACAGCGUGAGAUUUCAUCACACUUCUCUCAGAAUGGCAAGCAAUUAAAAACAUAAAUUUUUUAGUUCUGGAUUUUUCCAUUUAAUAUUUUUGGACUGUUGUUGACCAUUGGUAACAGAAGCCUCGGAAAAAGAAACUAUGGAUGAGGGGAGAAGACUGUAGUCACAAUUAAGGCAGAUCAUAAAGACUGGGGACUGCCAUGCAUCCGUUCCGCUCAGAUCUGCAGAGAAAACAGGCGGUCACACAAUGAGUUAUCACGCGCUGCUUCAAAUGAGAAGCCCUUGCUAAGGAGAGAGAGCCUGUGUCUUCACAAUCAUCAAAGAAAGAAGUUUAUUAACCACCUCCCGCCCGCCCGCAUGCCACACACACACACUGAUCCCAUCUCCACUCCAAGUAAAUAGGUCAUAGUGUCAAUCCAGCCAGGGCCCAGUGACCACUAAUGCAAGCUGGAGAUGCUGAUGUGCCUAGAACUGGGGCAGGUGUUGCAGAAGUACCCCCUGUCAAGGAAGGCAUUUGGGGCUCCCUGGAUGUCAGCAGCAUCAGUCACAGAGCAGGAAGCUGAUUCUCUCAUUGGCCAAAGACUCUUGGUCUUUCUCUGACGAUCUUCAGAGAAGCCCUCCUUUACUAUCCCCUCCCUCUCUCCGUCCCUCCCUCCCUCCCUCCCUUCCUCUUUAUCUCCCUUCUCCUUCCUUCUUUCCUCCCUUCCUUUCCCCUCCCUCCCUCAACCCCUCCCUCCCUUCCCUUCCCUUUGUCCCUCCCUCCCUUCCUUCCUCCCUCCCUCCCUUCUUUCUUUUCCUUUCCCUUCCCUUCUUCCUUCCUGCCUUCCUCCUUCCUUCCCUUUUACCUUCCCUUCCCCUUCCUUCCUUCUUCCUUCCUUCCCUUUGUCCUUCCCUCUCUCUCUGCCAUUGUCUUCCCUACCCUCCCUUCUUCUCUCCUCCCCUCCCAUUUCCUUCCCUUCCCUUUCUCCCCUCCCAUUCCCUUCCCUUCCCUUUCUCCCCUCCCCUUCCCUUCCCCCUCCCUCCCUCCCUCCCUCCCUCCCUCCCUUCUUCCUUCCUUCCCUCUUACUCCCUCCUUCCUUUUCUCCCUUCCUUCCUUCCUUCUCCUCCUUCCUUUCUUCGAACCAACAGUUAUUUAUUGAACACCUGCACUGUGCUUUGCCCUGUUCUGGAUAACAGUUAUCUAGCUACAAUCAGAGUAUGCAGACUUUAGCAUGGGGGCAUCAUUGGUUUCACUGCCUCCGCCCUUAAAAAAAAAAAAAAAAAACUUUUGCUGAGUGACUUUGUCUUAUGGAAGUUAGAAAGACCAUAAGAUGCAGCAAUUAGGUGACUUUGAGUCUGACAGACCUGCAUCCAAAUACUAUCUCUGUCUCUUACUGGAAAGUUUUUGUUGUUGCUGUUUUUUUUUUAACUUAAGGAAGUUAAAAGCCUCCUUUUUUUUCAUCUGUAAAAUGUGGAUUACAAUCCAACGUCAUAGGAUUGUUGUGGUGAUUAAAUGAGAUAGGUCAUGAAAAAUAAAGUGAUUAGCAUAGCACAGGCACA
RNAcentral lists this long non-coding RNA (1864 nucleotides) under Homo sapiens (human). RNAcentral describes it as "HSALNT0072303". The record is from RNAcentral. Lineage: Eukaryota; Metazoa; Chordata; Mammalia; Primates; Hominidae.